Molecule: long non-coding RNA, 18120 nt
Filed under: Oryza sativa (Asian cultivated rice)
Lineage: Eukaryota; Viridiplantae; Streptophyta; Magnoliopsida; Poales; Poaceae
Description: long non-coding RNA (OSAT_LNC000970)
Source: RNAcentral
GUCAAAUAUAUGAUGAUAUCUGAGCUUAUUUUUAACUUCCAAACCACUAUAUUGUUAAAACUCAGUACAAUACACCGCCAAGGGUGGUAAUGCUACUAGGUGCACUAUAGUACCUAGGGUAGAUACCAUAUCUAGAUGGCAAGUUCAAAGCCAACAGAGCUUGAGCUUGAGCUUGAGCCAGAUUCCGACCAAAGUAGAGAUCAUCAAACUGCUGGAGUUGUAGCUGUUGCGCUAUGGCCUGAACAAUGUUAAUAUCCUGAUAGUGAGACUGUUGCGCCACCAGCCUGAGCUGUUGCCAGACUUGGUUGUUUCUCAGUUGAAAUGCAGCUGAUUGCAAUAAGGGGCUUGCCGCUAUGCCAUACUGCUGCCUUACGAACUCAUUAUAUGGGCUAAGCACAUGUUGCUGUAGUAGGAGAGGCGACUGCAGCUGAUAUUGCCUAUAACUUUGACCUAAAACAUCAAACUGCGCAGAGGCGCUGUUUGCAGCAAUAGCAAGAAGAGCAAAGACGAAAAUGAUCUUCAUUGCUACGGGACACUAGAUCUUUCUUUUUUUGUUGUAUAAUGCUUGAACUGUGUGAACGAUGGGGAGGGUUUUCAUUGCGCUUGUCUAUUUAUAGAUGCAAUGGCACUGAUUUUCUUUCAAUUCCUCAUCGGUUGCUUUGGAGUGUUAGUUUUGCUUUCAUGUCCUAUUAGGAUCCAAGUGAGUCAUGUCAUUCGGACACAUGUUCUAUUAGGUGCCCCAACAAAUCCCCUUUGAUUUCAUCACGAAAGUAACUUUUGUGUCCAUCACAUAUACUCCCUCCAUCCAGUAAGGAGAAACCCACUUCUAGGGAUGAACCUGGACAAUCAUUUGUCCAGAUUCAUCCCUAAACCCUAAACCUUGUCCAGGUUCAUCCCCUAGAAGUUGUCAUUUUUGGGAUCGGAUGGUGUACAUGAUGGUUAGCAGGCUAGAAAGAUAAUGAUAUGACUCAUCGCUCACUUUAUACGUUAGUUUGGUAAGGAUUGCAACCAUUAUCUAGCUAUAUUUGUUAUGUUUUGUGAGCUAUUAUCCUAUAUACCUAUACAAAUCAUCCCCACUACUAGGAAUUCUCUGCAUCCUGGUGAUUCCACGUCAUCUUUUUUCUCUAGCCGUUGGUUUCUAAUCAAACGAUCAAGAUCACUGUCGCAUCGACUAUCCAUUAAAAUUUGAUUGACAUUGUAUCUCACUAACUCACGCCUAAAAUUAGGGUUUCUCUCCUCUAACGCGACGCCUUGGAGUUUCACCCUACCUCUCCGAUCUGGGUUGAUUUUGUCCCGGAGUCGGUUAGAAAUUCAAUCUAUGGCUGCUCUGCAAGUCGACGUGAAGACGAAGAGCGAUUUUACUGGAUCUCAUGGCGAGCGCAGCCUCUGCAACGGAGAGUCAGAAGUCGGCGAAACCUAAAGGAUCCACGGCAAGCCAAGAAGAUGAGGCAAAGGAUGAUAUUGAGAUGCUUUUGGAGGGUUUGGAUCUCAGGAAGGACGAGGAAGAGGAUGUUGAAUUGGAGGAAGAUCUCAAAGAGCUGGAAGCGGAUGCCCGAUGGUUAGCCCUAGCUAGGGUUCAUACAGAGAAAUCCUUUAGCCAUGGUGCUUUGUUUGCCAGCAUGCGAUCUGCAUGGAAUUGUGCGAAGGAAGUAGAUUUCAGGUCCAUGAAAGAUAAUUUGUUUUCAAUCCAAUUGAAUUGUCUUGCUGAUUGGGAGCGAGUUAUGGAGGAAGGACCAUGGAUUUUCCGUGGUUGUCCUGUGCUGCUUGCUGAAUAUGAUGGUUGGUCAGAGAUUGAAUCUGUGGUUCUUGAAACCUAUCCCACUUGGGUCCAGAUUCAUGAUCUGAAAGAGAAGAUCAGAACAGGGAGUAUUGCAACUCAGUUAGUCCGUAAAGCAGGAACUGUCAUCAAAUUAGAUGAGGCGUCAGUAAAAGGGAGUGGUGAUGGUGUUCGAGUAAGGGUGAAAGUUGAUGUUCGUAAGCCUCUCCUGCGAGUAGGAGCACCACUUUGAAUAAGAAGAAGUGGUUUUUCCGGCUGAUGUAUGAGAAGAUGCUGGUCUUCUGUGGGAUUUGUGGUCUGGUGGGUCAUGUCACAAAGGAGCAUGGUGAUGGCGUGCAUCUUCCAGAAGCGAUACAGUAUCCUGAUACUUUGGUAGCACCUGAGUUUAGAAGAUCGGGUAACUGGUUUAAUGGUGGCGGAAGAAAAGGCCGAGGCCAAGGAAGAGGAAGGGGAUGGAGUGGUCGUUCUUAUCGACCUGACUCUGAUAUGGCUGCGUAUGAUGGGGGCGACGAUGAGGAGAUGAUGGAUACAGCCACUAGCCCUUCAAAACAAGUGGCUAAACACUAUGCUCCCUCUACAUCCGUAAAAAAGAGAUUGGCUCUGGAACAGGUGACGUCACCAAAUCUGAAGAGCAAGCAGGCCCUACUACUGGAGAAUACACCUGUGCAAGAUGAUGGAAAUAUAAAUACUGAAGCUCUCCCAAAGGAAGUUGAUGAGUCAAACAGUAAGGAAGAGGACAGUUCAACAUCACUAGACAGUAAGCGUCAGAAGAAGGUGGAUGAAGGCAGCAAUACAGAUGACUUGGCAACAUCGGCGGGCUCCCUCGAGGAGUACCGCCGGGCCUAAUGUCUAUCCUAGCUUGGAACUGUCGGGGCAUUGGGCGAGCCCGGACAGUUCAAGAUUUAGUCUGCAUGGUGCAGACUCACUGCCCCGAAAAUAGUCUUCCUAGCGGAGACGAGGCAAAAUCAAAACGUUGUGAGAAACCUAACAUGGAGAUUAGGUCUGCGACGCUGCUUUGUAGUGAAUGGAAGGGGGAAGGGAGGUGGCAUUGCGCUGUUCUGGGAUGAAAGCAUUAAAGUUGAGCUUAAAUCCUAUAAUGUGAGACAUAUUGACGUUCUUAUCACAGAAUCUGAUGGGGAAAGGUGGAGAGGAACCUUUGUUUAUGGCGAACCACGAUCCCAAGAUCGACUCAAAAUGUGGACUUUACUCCGUCGGAUUAAAUCCAAUGCAGCGCUGCCUUGGUUGAUGAUUGGAGACUUUAAUGAGGCUAUGUGGCAAUCUGAACAUUGGUCUCGGGUCAGGCGAUCAGAGAGACAAAUGAAAGAUUUCAGAGAAGCUCUUGCUGAUUGUGAUUUGCAUGAUCUUGGUUUUCAUGGAGUGCCAUGGACGUAUGAUAACAAUCAAAGAGGUGCAAACAAUGUAAGAGUACGACUGGAUCGAGCAGUAGCCUCGCCAGCAUGGCUGGGCAGAUUUAGACAGGCAAGCAUCACACACCUUGUUACACCUAGUUCCGACCAUGUACCGUUGCUACUGGAGAGAUUAGAAGAAGAACUUGUUCAUAACAGUGUGAAGAUAAGUCGUUAUGAAGCUAUUUGGGAAAGAGAAGAAUCCUUUGACUCGGUUGUCCAGCAGGCAUGGGGAGAAGGAGAAGUUGUGCGCAACCUUGGGGACUUCAAAACCAAGAUGGCAUACACAAUGGACGAACUUGUCAAGUGGAGCAAAUCAAAGAUUGGCAACAUAAAGAAAGGUAUUGAAAGUCGCAGGAAGAAAUUAGGUGAACUCAGAAUGGCAGGGAUGCUUGACUCUGAACCAGAGGUGAAAAAGAUCAAAGAGCAGCUUCAGGAAAUGCUUCGCCGUGAGGAGAUAUGGUGGAGACAGCGAUCUCAAAUCACUUGGCUGAAGGAGGGUGACAAAAAUACAAAGUAUUUCCACCUGAAAGCGUCCUGGCGAGCUCGGAAGAAUAAAGUGAAGAAAUUGCGCAGGCCUAAUGGCAGCCUGGUGUCAAAUGAAAAGGAGAUGGGAGAGGUUGCCCGUGAUUUCUUCCAGAAUCUAUAUAUGAAAGAUGAAAAUCUUGACCCUACUGAACUUUUCAAUUUGUUCCAGACAAAAAUAACAGCGGAAAUGAAUGAGUCUUUGAUGAAACCCUUCUCUGAGGAGGAGAUAGGAGACGUCUUGUUCCAGAUAGGGCAUUUGAAAGCGCCAGGGUCCGAUGGUUUCCCGGCGCAUUUCUUCCAAAGAAAUUGGGACCCUUAAGACUGAUGUUAUUAGAGUGUGUUAACAGUGAAAUUUGGUAAGCCUGGAGUAGUCAACGGCUUAGAGUCAGCAUCGGCUUUGAAGUCUGAGAUUAGCCGAUGAGAGUUGUCAAGUCGUCAGUUGUCGGAUUCUUGCUAUAUUCGGUUAAGGAAAUUGAUCUACUAAAUGAAGUUUAUCCAGAAGAGACCGAGUUCAAAGAGAAUGCGGCAUGGCAAGUUAUCUAUUAAUUAGGAAUAGUUUGUAAGUUUCCUUUUAUCUUUAGGAAAGUUUCUUUCUUGUCCUACAAGGACUAGUAUCUACCCAUAGGUAUAAAUAUGUACACCCGGGGUCAUUGUAAACUAUCUUCACGAUCAAUACAAUUCGGCGCAUCGCCACCCUUUUACUUCUACUUUUGUUUUUACGUUCCGGCGGAACUUGGCACCCGACAUGGGGCUGCAUCGUCUUCGAUCUCCGGCGAAGGGAUCAGUCCAAUGUUCCGUCGGCCCAGGCAAUUGUAUCGUCUACGUCGGCAUCGUUCAAGGCUGCAUCAGUACAUUCGACCUCUUGGAUUACUCUGGUUUGGAUAAUAUAUUUGCCUGGCUAUUUAUCAUAUGUCUAUGUUAAUCUAGUCCUAGCAUCUCAAUUUAGCUCUAUCGGAUGUCUCUCACUUUAGGGUUUCUGCCGGUAUCGGCUAAAUCGCCUUGCUAGAUUAGAUUAGUUUAGACAUCUACCACCCUGAAAACUCAGUCAUCGGCUUGAUUGUCUAGAUAUUAUUUUUCUUUUUAUGCUUAGUGCUGCAUCAGUUAAGUUUGAUCUACUAAGUCGUGCUUAGAACCAUAAUUUCUAGCCUGCUUCUUGAUUGCCAAUAAGGGUUUCAUCGGGGUUACAGCCAAUGAGUUAUCUGGACGUUGCAUCGGCUUACAAGGAUUGCAUGUACAUAUAAGUUGGAUUUAGCCGAUCGCAACAAAGGUUUUACUGUUUUAUCUAAUCCUGUGGAUUUAAUGACAUCGGACCUCCAGCCGAUGUAUGCUUUAACCUUCGGAUCAAUACUUGUUCUACUAUAUCAUAUUGUUAGCCGAUUGGUUUCUACUGGGCUAUUCGGAUCAGUGCUUAUUAUAUCUUGUUUCUAGCCGAUUGGUUUCUACUCGGUUAUAUUGUUAUUUUAUUACAUCAUCAUCAACCGAUUGCCUUUAUAUCAUUAUCUAUAUUGGACAUAUAGCCGAUUGCUUAAACCCUAUCGCUAUCGGCUGGUAUCGACAUCGGCUAUUAUCAGCUAUCGGUUGGAACUACUCCAUCGGCUUGUCAGCCAAUCGGCUGUUUUAUCUGCUGUUUACAUAUUUUGUCAGUUGUAGGAUCAAAUUGACUGGCACGCUCGCAUCUCAUCAAUCUUUGGAACUGCACAGGAGCUAAGCAGAUCUCCCAGGCCGGUGUGUUCGAUUUUUUCGUCAACAGAGUGGUACAAGCAUUUUUUGAAAACGGCGAAAUGCAGGAGGGAGCAAAUGACACUGUCAUAGUUAUGAUUCCAAAAACUAAGUCACCGGAGGAGAUGAAGGAUUUCUGGCCCAUCAGUCUAUGUAAUGUGAUAUACAAGGUGAUAGCUAAAUGCCUUGUUAAUCUAUGUAAUGUGAUAUACAAGGUGAUAGCUAAAUGCCUUGUUAAUCGACUCAGACCGCUCCUUCAUGAUGUAAUAUCAAAUGCAUAGAGUGCUUUUGUAUCAGGUUGCAUGAUCACAGACAACGCGCUCAUCGCUUUCGAAUGCUUCCAUGCCAUCCAAAAAUGCAAAAGGGAGAACCAGAAUUUUUGUGCUCUGAAAUUAGAUCUUUCAAAGGCCUAUGAUAGAGUUGAUUGGGCGUUUCUGGAUGGGGUGUUGCAAAGAAUGGGUUUUGGAGAAUCAUGGAGGAAGUGGACAAUGUCAUGUAUGACAUCUGUUAGAUACAGUAUCUGUUUAAAUGGGAACCUGCUAGAUCCUUUUACCCCAACAAGAGGAUUGCGGCAAGGUGAUCCUCUUAGUCCAUACUUGUUUCUGUUUAUUACUGACGGGUUGUCACAUAUUCUGGAGAAGAAGAGCUUGGAAGGUUCAAUCCAACCAAUUAAGGUGUGUCGGGGAGCCCCGGGGAUCUCCCACUUACUUUUUGCUGACGAUAGCUUAUUGUUUUUUCAAGCCGAGGUUGAUCAAGCGAGAAUUUGCUGGAGGCGCUCAGUCUAUACGAGAAAAGCACAGGGCAGCUUAUUAACCCAGCAAAGUGUUCUCUGUUGUUUAGUGAAUUUUGCUCAUAGGAGAGGCAGGAGGAGAUCAAAGCUGUUCUGCAGAUUCAAAGAGCAGGUUUUGAAGAUAAAUACCUAGGCCUUCCAACUCCCGAAGGUAGGAUGAAAUCAGAACAAUUCCAACCAAUCAAGGGAAGAUUUUCUAAGAGAUUAACAGAUUGGUGUGAGAGGUUUCUAUCAGCUGCAGGGAAGGAUACUCUGAUAAAGAGUGUAGCUCAAGCUCUCCCCACCUACACGAUAGGAGUGUUUAAGAUGCCUGAACAUUUUUGUAAUGAUUAUGAAUAGAUGGUUCGCAAUUUUUGGUGGGGACAUGACAAAGGGGAGAGGAAAGUACAUUGGAUAUCCUGGGAAAAGCUCACGAGCCCUAAGCUUCAUGGUGGCCUGGGCUUUCGGGAUACUCGGUCUUUCAAUCAGGCUUUAUUAGCACGUCAAGCAUGGAGGUUGAUCGCGGAGCCGAAUAGCUUGUGCGCUCGGUUGCUGAAAGCAAAGUAUUACCCCAAUGGCUCCCUUACUGAUACAGCUUUCCCGUCCAAUACUUCACCAACUUGGAAAGGAAUCGAACAUGGGCUGGAAUUGCUAAAGAAAGGACUGAUUUGGAGGAUAGGAGACAGGCGGACUACCAAGAUUUGGAGGAAUAGAUGGGUGGCGCAUGGUGAGAAAGUUGAGGUUAUACAGAAGAAGAAUUGGAAUAGGCUCACGUAUGUACAUGAGCUUUUGAUCCCUGGAACAAACGCCUGGAAUGAGGCAUUAAUCAGACAUGUUGCGACGGAGGAAGAUGCAAAUGCUAUUCUAAAGAUCCAUGUGCCAAACCAGGAGACAUCUCACUUUCCUGCAUGGCACUAUGAGAAAACAGGCCUUUUUUCAGUAAGAAGCGCCUAUAAGCUACUUCCUCCGUUUCACAAUAUAAGUCAUUCUAGCAUUUUCCACAUUCAUAUUGAUGUUAAUGAAUUUAGAUAGAUAUAUAUGUCUAGAUUCAUUAACAUCAAUAUGAAUAUAGGAAAUGCUAGAAUGACUUACAUUGUGAAACGGAGGGAGUAGCAUGGAACUUAACUAAGAGUGCUCAAGUUCAGGCCGCAUCAAGUACUGCUACCAAUGGUGAAAGGAAGCUCUGGGAGAAUGUGUGGAAGGCAGACGUUCAACCAAAAGUUAAGAUUUUUGCAUGGAAACUUGCUCACGACAGGCUGCCCACUUGGGAGAAUAAACGAAAAAGAAGGAUACAACCAGUAGGCAUCUGCCCUAUCUGUGGUGUAAAGGAGGAAAAUGGUUUCCAUGCGACUGUUGAAUGUACAAUGGCGAGAUCGUUGCGAGAAGCCAUCAGAGAGUUCUGGGCGCUACCGCCGGAAAGGAAGUUUGCUAUGACUGGGCCUGACUGGCUCCUUGUCCUGUUGGAUAGCUUGAAUAGUUCAGACAAGGCGCGUGUUUUGUACUUGUUGUGGAGAGCAUGGUUCCUCAGGAAUGAUAUGAUCCAUGGAAAGGGGACGGCCACAAUUGCAGAGUCUGUAAAUUUCCUCGUCAACUAUGAGAAGGUACUGUUGCCGAUCCGACAACAAAGCGAUGACAUCAAAGGAAAAGGAUUAAUGUAUAAUGAACCAAUGGUGAAAUUACUGCAGGUUCAGACAACCAAUCAGGUUGAUAAAUGGCACGCCCUUCCCGAAGGUUCAGCAAAGGUAAAUGUGGAUGCUGGUUUUAUAGAAGACACAGGAGUUUCAGCUGCUGGAAUCAUCAUUAGAGACUGCAGGGGUUUAGUGCUGUUUGCUGUGCAAAAAAAUCCUGUGCUACUGCUGUCCAAGCUGAGGCAUUGGCAUGUCUAGAAGGAUUAAGGGCAGCCAUGGAAUGGAUUCAUAUGCCAAGAAUCUUGGAAACUGACAGCGUAGAGGUGUUCAAGGCUCUGUCACAACAGGAGCUGUCGAGAUCACCCUUGGCAGCGACAAUAAAGGAAGCGAGAGGGAUGAUGCAGUGUCUCUAAAGUGUGCAGGUUUGCAAGAUCAAGAGGGAAGCAAAUAGGAUUGCUCAUGCUUUAGCUCAAAUGGCUAUGAGGUCUAGAUCGUGUGUGGAGUAGAAGUUGUGUGCUCCCGCAGGAAUCUUAGACUUGAUAGACCAAGAAUGUAAUCAUCUCUUCCGUAAUCAAUAAAAUUCCCUCUUUGAAGUCAAAAAAAAAAAGGAUCACUGUCGCAUCACACAUCCACUCGCUUCUCCUCCUGCCGCUGCUCGCGCUUCACCUCCGCAUCUCUGGCACGCAGCAGCCGUGGGACCUCCAGGCAAAGCGCUCGCUUCUCCUUCCCCAUCCGCCGCGCAUGCCAUCAGCGGGCCCACAAGCUCAGCUGCGUUCGCUUCUCCUCGCCCCACAGCGCUGCCUCCCCAUUCCCCCGCGCGCUCUAGCCGUACUGUGCCGCUUCUCCUCCCCUCACGCAAGCGACGAGCUCGCUAGCCCAACUACACGAAUAAUCCUCUUUAAUUUCCGCUAACAGUCACACACUUAUUUACUUUGCCUCUUACUCUUCCUCUUCCCAUGUUCAUGUGCAUGUGAAAGAUGCACAUGCCGAUGCCGGUGAUUGCUGCUAUAUAAUGACAUGCUCGGUGUUGUUGCUCGCUCGCUAAAUGUCUUCGUCUCUCUCUCACCAAUUCUGAUUUUCAUAGACUAAUCUUCAUAGACUAAUCGCUCUAAUUAACUUCCUUGCAGUUUUGCUUGAGGUUCUAUUUGACUUUCAUAAUACAUUCCAAUUAUCCUUUCCUUUUGUAUCUGGUACGUAUUUGAAUUAAUAUUUUAAUUACUCUUAUUUUUUUCAUAUGAUAACAUAAAUUUCAUAAUUGUUUAGUGCCCUGUGUUGUUGAACAAUAUUUGAAGCCGUUUUCAUUUUAUAUGCUAUUAAAAACCCUUUUUUCAUUGUUGGUUACACUUCUUAUUAUGCUGCAUUUUCAGCUGAUCUUUUUAGCAUUAGCAUAAUAUUGUUAUUCCUAUGUCCAGCAACUUUAUAAAGGUUUUUAAUACUCUGUAUUGUUCUGUAUUGUACAGGAAACAAGAAAGGUGGGAGCUUUCUUCAUUGAACCACUGCACAAAUAAUUCCUUUGACGGUACGCCAUUAAAAUCCUCUUUUCCCCUUGAUCAUAUCUGCCACUGUAGACUGACUAAGUUGUUUUGCAUUAAUUUUAGUAGCGGUUGCUGCAACCUUGAAAUUAUCUUAACUUAAUAGUGAGACAAGAAAAGGAAGCGAGUUGAAUUGCAUAAGUUUUUCAAUAAUUUGAACUGUCAAUUUGAAAGUGAACUGUCAAUUUGAAAGUUCAACACAUUGUGCAUAUUCGGUUGUCUUGACAACAAUAUUGAUGUUAUAUUUAUUGGAGUCUGAACUCCUAUCUGAUGUUAUAUUUAUUGGAGUCUCGGCUCCUAUCUUUAUUAUUUUAUUCUUUUAUUUGAUUGAAUAGAAUAAAAUGAAGGGUGUAAUAUUCAAACUAUUUCUUUUUUUAUACUUCAAACUGUAGAAGAUUUGCCGGAUAUAUUAGAACGAGAAAAGAAGUAGUAAACCAGAGCCUUACAUAUGUCUGUUAAAAGGAAAAAAACAUCUAGGGAAGAUAUGAGGAUUGAUUUACAUAAAAAAAGAGAGCGAUUGAUUGAAAGAUCAUGAAACAGACAGAUCCUUGACUAUUAGGCUAAUUUUUUCCUUCACUAGAAAAGCGACUUAGAAUCCAUUCUUCAACAAUUGUUGGAAAAUUCUAUUGUGUACCAGCCAUAUGUUCCACCACAUCAUCAACAAAGGUAUGGAAUUACAGAGCUCACUCCACCAAUCUGUGAUGGUUUGCAUGGCUUGCUGUUCUGGGGCUUGGAAGUUCAUCCAAUUGCACACUUUAUCCUAACUAUUUCUACAUUUAUAUUGUAAACUAUAUCUUUAGAAAUGUGCUAUUUGACUUAACAUGUCAAUGUAGGCCAUGUGAUAUUUCAUUUUAGGUUGUCUGGCACUGGCAGCAGCCGACCCAACUUUCACUAUGAGUACUGUAUUUUUCAAGUAAAUACUGCACAUAUAAUUUUUAUCCAUUGUUUUAAAUAAGCCGACAUCUCCAGUGACAACUAAAAGUGCCGCAGCAACACGCGGGGUAUAUUCUAGUUUCACUAAUGCAUGACACGUUGAACAUUAAAGUCGUGUGGCCUCAUGCAUUUUAUAUUAUAAAAUUUCAACAAGAAUGACAAAAUUAUGGUACGCCAAGUGCUUUUUAUUGUUCCGUUGAUGCGGUACCGAACAUUCAAUUUUCUAGCAAGAAUUAGGUUUGCACUGAAUUCUUAAAUCACCAUUCGAGAGAUUUACGAGAAAUCAACAUGUUGCUCUACUUGUAGUGCAGGAUUGACGCAAUUCGUAUUCUUGUAAACCAACUUGUUACGUGUUUUCUUGUCUAAACAUUUUGGAUAGACUUGGGCUGUGUUCGGAAUCCAGGGUUCCCAACCCAUCUCCAUCGUAUUCCGCGUGCACGCUUUUCAAACUGCUAAACGGUGUGUUUUUUUGCAAAAAGUUUCUAUACAAAAGUUGCUUAAAAAAAUCAUAUUAAUCCAUUUUUUGUAAAAAAAGCUAAUACUUAACUAAUCAAGCUCUAAUGAACCGCUCCGUUUUCUGUGCGCACUUUGCAUGUUGGGAACAGUUGAUUCCAAACACAGCCCUAUUCGUUUUCGAGAUGGAAAAGAACUACCACAUAUUUGUAGUGUGUCAAGAACCGGUUUUCUUUGGGUACAUCAUGCGUGAGUUCCUCUAGUUUUGUUGAAACAUCAAGUUUAUUAUCCAUUUUGUUUGCAGUAAACUAUCGACUUGCUAUGUUAGAAUAAACUUCUCAUAGAAACGAGGGUGUCAGCAAGAACAACCUCAACGUGUAGGAGCAUUCCAUAAGUAAGACAUCUCAUAGUGUGGAAGAUGUGUACAUUUUUUUAAAGUCACUCUUUCGUGACUGAAUAAACAGAACAUCAUAAAUCCUUCUUUCUAGUUUCCACCCUCGCUGUUGCUGCUACACUUUUUGCUUCUAUAUUGAAUUAGUUACGUCUAGGUUAUGCUUCUGUGAUACAAAGUGAGCGAGGCUCAACUAAAGAAUGCCUUGUACACUACAUCUUGUCAGGAAGGAUGGACAACAAGAUGGCUUUCAAUUGAAAUUAAUAUGCAUAUAUGAAAGUCAUUAAUAUACCAAUGUUUAAAACUUUGGAAUCAUAUCUUGAUGUCGCUUGAAACAACAUAUUUGCAUGAAGUGACACGUUUGGUCGACAAGGGCAUGUCAUAUUCACAAUGAUCAUGCAUAUGCGGCCUUUCAUAUGCGCUUAUUUUAGUAGUGGAUGAAGAAUCAAUGUGGAUUGCUACAUCUUUACGUGCUUUGUAUGUUCUUCGAUUUUGUUGUAGUGGAUUUAGUAUUUGCCAUAUGUGCUUCGUGUUUGUUCUUAUUGGAAUUAAAGGAUGGACAUCCUUUAUACGCUCCAUUUAUAUCUUAAAGACAAAGUAGCUUCGGAUCGAAUAUAAGCACACAGUAAAAUUGUAGAGUACCAACGAUGGUAAUUAGUUACGACGAUGUACUAGGAUAUAUCACCCCGAGUUUCACAUGUCAAAUAUGAUGAUAUCUGAGCCUAUUUUUAACUUCCAAACCACUAUAUUGUUAAAACUCAGUACAAUAAACCGCCAAGGGUGGUAAUGCUACUAGGUGCACUAUAGUACCUAGGGUAGAUACCAUAUCUAGAUGGCAAGUUCAAAGCCAACAGAGCUUGGGCUGGAGCUUGAGCCAGAUUCCGAUCAAAGUAGAGAUCAUCAAACUGCUGGAGUUGUAGCUGCUGCGCUAUGACCUGAAAAAUGUUAAUAUCCUCAUAGUGAGACUGUUGCGCCACCAGCCAAAGCUGUUGCCAGACUUGGUUGUUUCUCAGUUGAAACGCAACUGAUUGCAAUAAGGGGCUUGCCGUUAUGCCAUACUGCUGCCUUACGAACUCAUUAUAUGGGCUAAGCACCUGUUGCUGUAGCAGGAGAGGCGACUGCAGCUGAUAUUGCCUAUAACUUUGACCUAAAACAUCAAACUGCGCAGAGGCGCUGCAUGCAGCAAUAGUAAGAAGAGCAAAGGCGAAAAUGAUCUUCAUUGCUACGGGACACUAGAUCUUUCUUUUUUGCUGUAUAAUGCUUGAACUGUGUGAACGAUGGGGAGGGUUUUCAUUGCGCUUGUCUAUUUAUAGAUGCGAUGGCACUGAUUUUCUUUCAAUUCCUCAUCGGUUGCUUUGGAGUGUUAGUUUUGCUUUGAUGUCCUAUUAGGAUCCAAGUGAGUCAUGUCAUUUGGACACAUGUUCUAUUAGGUACCCCAACAAAUCCCCUUUGAUUUCAUUACGAAAGUAACUUUUAUGUCCAUCACAUAUACUCCCUCCGUCCCGUAAGGAGAAACCCACUUCUAGGGAUGAACCUGGACAAUCAUUUGUCCAGAUUCAUCCCUAAACCCUAAACAUUGUCCAGGUUCAUCCCUAGAAGUUGUCAUAUUUUGGGAUCGGAAAGUGUACGUGAUGGUUAGCAGGCUAGAAAGAUAAUGAUAUGACUCAUCGCUCGCUUUAUACGUUAGUUUGGUAAGGAUUGCAACCGUUAUCUAGCUAUAUUUGUUAUGUUUUGUGAGCUAUUAUUUCACUAAUGCAUGACACGUUGAACAUUAAGGUCGUGUGGCCUCAUGCAUUUUAUGUUACAAAAUUUCAACAAGAAUGACAAAAUUAUGGUAUGCCAAGUGCUUUUUAUUGUUCCGUUGAUGCGGUACCGAACAUUUGAUUUUAUAGCAAGAGUUAGGUUUGCACUAAAUUCUUAAAUCACCAUUCGAGAGAUUUACGAGAAAUCACCAUUUUGCUCUACCUAUAGUGCAGGAUUGACGUAAUUCGUAUUCUUGCAAACCAACUUGUUACGUGUUUUCUUGUCUAAACUUUUUGGAUAGACUUGGGCUGUGUUCGGAAUCCAGGGUUCCCAACCCAUCUCCAUCGUAUUCCGCGCGCACGCUUUUCAAACUGCUAAACGGUGUGUUUUUUUGUAAAAAGUUUCUCUACAAAAGUUGCUUAAAAAAUCAUAUUAAUCUAUUUUUUUGAAAAAAAAGCUAAUACUUAACUAAUCAAGCUUUAAUGGACCGCUCCGUUUUCCGUGCGCACUUUGCAUGUUGGGAACAGCUGAUUCCAAACACAGCCUUGAUUCGUUUUUAAGAUAGAAAAGAACUACCACAGAUUUGUAGUGUGUCAAGAACCGGUUUCCUUUGGGUAUAUCAUGCGUGAGUUUCUCUAGUUUUGUUGAAACAUCAGGCUUAUUAUCCAUUUUAUUGGCAGUAAACUAUCGACUUGCUAUGUUAGAAAAAACUUCUCAUAGAAACGAGAGUGUCAGCAAGAACAACCUCCGCGUGUAGGAGCAUUCCAUAAGUAAGACAUGUCAUAAUUUUAACUUUGGAAGAAUUGUACAUCUAUAUCUAUACUAAUAUAAAAAGGAUGAGUUGAGCCUAGCAAUGCUUCAGGCCAAAUCAUCGUCCCUAAUCCCUACCAUCCAUCCGCAUCUGCAUCGCAUCAUCACCCUAAUCCCUACCGUCCACCCACAUCGCAUCACAAAUCCGCACUAAUCCACUGCAAUUUCACCCUCCCACAGCGACCUCAUCCUCUCUCCACCGAAUUUUUUGGCCUGCGCUCCCGCCACCGCGAGAUGACUCUGCGUCUCCGCCCUCAGCGCCACGGUGUUAUCGGGCCAUCGCGCUUGCGCGCCAUCCUAAACACUCCCCGCAAACGUCGCCCUCCACCCACCCCUCUAGAUUAAGCCCACCCUUCCUCCAAGCUCCCAAUCCACCCUUUCUCCAAGCCUCCCAGGGCCAGCCGUGAUCCCCUCCACCGUGCCACUACCGACGGUACCCCCCCCCCACUCCCUGACGCAGCCAGUCCUCCUCGCCGGGUGCACCCAUCUCCGUCGUUGUCCACUCUUCCGGCGGCAUCACCACCCAGUUGCGCCACCCGGUCGUCAUCCCUUCUACCACCGCUGCAAGGUGCAGACUCUGCUCACAAUGCACAGCUCCACCGUGCCCCGGUCACUAUUCCUCUCAGUCGCGUGCCUUCCUCCCUUCAAGGCUUCAACUGACGUCGCCGUGCUCUCUUCUGCCUCGCGUUGCUUGAAUGGGCAAAGGCUGCUUCGAUCCACGCAGUAUUCACCGUCAGAUUACUUUUGUAUGGCCUCAAACCCUGAACCUCUUUUCUUUGAAUCUUGUUAUCAAUCUUAAUUAGGUUUCCUCAACCUCCCUCCAUCUGCUUUGGAUCUUUCCUUCUUAAUUUCCAGUGAAUAAUCGGUGAAAAGAAGACCAGCUCUGGCGCCUACCAAUGCACAGCUUGAGCAGAGCAGCGAUGAGGACCAGAUACAUUCGACAGGCGGAGAACAAUGCACAACGGCUAUGGCAGAUGCGGCUGAGAGGAUGAGACCUCAUUCCCGAUCUAGCUGCAAGCUGCAUGUGGCUGAUGCAAUCUCCUCCGCAUCCGUUUGCUGCGUCUCCGGCCCUCCGCAGCCCGCCCAUGCAACUUUGGCGCAUGGUACUCUGGCAGCCACAACAAUUAAUUUGCGUCGCUCAGUGGUGAUGACUGACGAGGUACACAUCCGCUUGAUUUUGUUUAUAUAUGUUACUGAAUCUUAGCUCGAAUGAUUUUUUUUCUUUUACUGAGCGCAGUAAGAUUGAGAUAGAUCAGAUCAAUUUCUUUUUGCUCUUCCAAAGGCCUUAAUAAGACAUUCAAGAAGCUAGAUCAUGAUGUCAAAUAUUCCGGACUUCUUUGGCUCAGAGUAAAUUUCUGCCAGCUUAUGCUAUAACAUGGAAUAAAAAUAUACAAUAACACAAAUGUCUAUUGCAAAGAAAGAUUCUCACUCUGCAAUUCUUUUGAAUCUAUUGUAUAUUUGCAGGGGUCAGAUUGUCAAGGUACUUAUCAACAAUUCAAUAACGAUAUAACAACUUGUUAAAUCUCUUAUUUCCUGCUUCAUGUCUCUGAUAUUCAGAUGUUUAUUCAGUCAAUUGUUUGGAAGGAAUUGUCAAGUCACCUUGGGGCUUUGCAAUGUUAAGGGUAGAUGUCCAAAGGUGUCUUAGGUAUAUAGCUCAGUUAAGUUGUGGCACAAAUUAUCUACUCUAAUUGGAUAAAACUGCAAUAAUUAUGUAAAUAUUUAUAUUCAUUGAUGAACUCAAUAGUGGCUUGGUGGCAUAUGAUCUUAAAAGGGCCCCUUAUUCAGACAGAUCACAUUGAUGCCAAAAAUCAUGGUAGAUUCUCAUAGAUAAUAGGGAGAAAAUUAAAGGGAAUUAAUGGACAUGUAUAACAAUGUUGCAUGUUAUUCUUCAAUUAUUGGAGCGGUCCAGAGAAGGUUGAGAAUAUAUUGGCCAUAAUAAAAGAGUGAUGGAGCAAUCUCUCAAAGAAUCUCUGAAUAACAUCAGAAUUCAUAAGGUAUACAUUAUUUGUUGCUUGAUUCACUACAUAAUAUCUAGAGUGUUAAUGCCAAGCCAUGUAGUGCUCUACUCACACUAUGUAGUACAUAUACUAUUUACUCAUAAUAAUUUCAUUUUGAAACUUGUAUAGGAGAACUUUGCAAAGAAGCAUAUGACUACAAUGUGCUGCUGCUCAGGUAAUAAGUUUCAGCAUCAAAUUUCAAUAUGUGCAAUGCUGGUUUUAGGUUCAGAUAUCUGACUAACCUUUACCAAAUUUAGUUCCAAUAUGAAUAGGUGACACAGACACUUCUUCAUGGUUCCAUAGCAGCGGCGGUGCGGAGGGUCAACAACCUAUGAUGCUAUCGGAAGACCCCAGCUUGCUCCAUCUAAUGUGAGAUAAAGCUAGAUGAUGAAUGCAUAAACUUCAGGAGAUGCCAUGAACUUAACACAAGCCUGGCAAGCUCUCAUGAACUUAACACAAGAAAGUCUGCUCCUGAUGUAGGGACAUUGGGUGCAGAUCUUCCUAGGCUACUUCAGCAUGAGCAAGCAGUCAAUCAACAACGCCGGCAACAAGCGCAAGCUGGAUAUUGUGACUGUCUUAAUCUAAUUAAAUCAAAAUUAGUUAUUUCUCUGCCAUUUAUUUGGUGUUAACAUAAAUAGUUCUGAUGUAUGUCCUUUUGUAUGCUUGUAAAGAAGAGAUGCCAUGUUAUCAGGAGAUGCUAAUCAGAACUCAUCUCAGAAGGGGUGUGCGGCUGUGCUAUAUCAAUUGAAAAUUGCUUUUUUUUUCAAAACAAAUGAAUGACAGUUAAACAAUAAGUCGUAAACUUGAAAAAUCAGAAAAAUACUACGUAUGUUUCUUAUUAAUGAAUAUUUGAAAUUGAUGUUCGCAAAAUACUAAGGAAGUUCCAUGUAUGUUAAAUGGAGUUCAACUUCGAGAAGAGUUUUUUUUUCGAUCUGAAGGCCCGUAGUAUAUAAUCAACUCAAAGAAAUCUUAAUGGAUGAUCCAACUUCAAUUUGGAAAUAUAUGGAAUAACAACAUCUUUAUAAUAAUACAUUCUUAUUAGUUUCAAAACCCAUUACUCUCUUUCAAAUUUGACUUGACUAUAUAAAAACUUUAAUUCCUUCUCUGUUUCAGUGAUUUAUUUUUUUACCAACAUAGAUUUCAUGCGCUAUUGUAUUCCGAUCGUAUGCAACAAUGAGCUCUCUUUUUUUUUUUGCAUUUUUUAGCUUGAAUGGGGAUUAACAUGAAGCUUGGUUUAUUUAUUUUAUCACCACAUUGAAAUAAAUCGUCUUAUAUACAUAUUGCGACAGCAAAAUAUUACGUUGAUGCCAUAUGUAAUAUGAAAAACGUGCCUUGCACGUGCAUGAUUACUAGUUUUUUUAAAGUCACUCUUUCAUGACUGAAUAAACUAAGAAACAUCAUAAAUCCUUCUUUCUAGUUUCCACCCUCGUUGUUUCUGCUACACUUUUUGCUUCUAUACUAAAUUAGUUACGUCUAGGUUAUGCUUCUAUGAUACAAAGUGAGCGAGGCUCAACUAAAGAAUGCCUUGUACACUACAUCUUGUCAGGAAGGAUGGACAACAAGAUGGCUUUCAAUUGAAACUAAUAUGCAUAUAUGAAAGUCAUUAAUAUACCAUUGUUUAAAACUUUGAAAUCAUAUCUUGAUGUCGCUUGAAACAACAUAUUUGCAUGAAGUGACACGUUUGGUCGACAAGCGCAUGUCAUAUUCACAAUGAUCAUGCAUAUGCGGCCUUUCAUAUGCGCUUAUUUUAGUAGUGGAUGAAGAAUCAAUGUGCAUUGCUACAUCUUUACGUGCGUUUUAUGGUCUAUGAUUUUGUUGUAGUGGAUUUAGUAUUUGCCAUAUGUGCUUCGUGUUUGUUCUUAUUGGAAUUAAAGGAUGGACAUCUUUUAUACACUCCAUUUAUAUCUUAAAGACAAAGUAGCUUCGGAUCGAAUGUAAGCACACAGUAAAAUUGUAGAGUACCAAUGAUGGUAAUUAGUUACGAUGAUGUACUAGGAUAUAUCACCCUGAGUUUCACAUGUCAAAUAUGAUGAUAUCUGAGUUUAUUUUUAACUUCCGAACCACUGUAAUGUUAAAACUCAGUACAAUACACCGCCAAGGGUGGUAAUGCUACUAGGUGCACUAUAGUACCUAGGGUAGAUACCAUAUCUAGAUGGCAAGUUCAAAGCCAACAGAGCUUGAGCUUGAGCUUGACCCAGAUUCCGAUCAAAGUAGAGAUCAUCAAACUGCUGGAGUUGUAGCUGCUGCGCUAUGGCCUGAACAAUGUUAAUAUCUUGAUAGUGAGACUGUUGCGCCACCAGCCUGAGCUGUUGCCAAACUUGGUUGUUUUUCAGCUGAAACGCAGCUGAUUGCAAUAAGGGGCUUGCUGCUAUGCCAUACUGCUGCCUUACGAACUCAUUAUAUGGGCUAAGCACAUGUUGCUGUAGCAGGAGAG